GGGGAUGUAACUCAGUUGGUAGAGUGUUUGCCUACCACGCAUAAAGUCCUAGGUUUCAUUCCCA
This 64-nucleotide transfer RNA is filed under the name Mesocricetus auratus (golden hamster). It matches the Rfam family "tRNA". From Rfam's summary of the family: Transfer RNA (tRNA) molecules are approximately 80 nucleotides in length. The record is from Rfam by way of RNAcentral. Lineage: Eukaryota; Metazoa; Chordata; Mammalia; Rodentia; Cricetidae.